Molecule: microRNA precursor, 52 nt
Organism: Ovis aries (sheep)
Lineage: Eukaryota; Metazoa; Chordata; Mammalia; Artiodactyla; Bovidae
Rfam family: mir-1302 microRNA precursor family
Source: Rfam
UUUUUAGUGUAAGUAUGCCCCAUGUAAUAUUUGGGGCAUAUUUAUACUAAAG